Molecule: small nuclear RNA, 107 nt
Filed under: Pteropus alecto (black flying fox)
Lineage: Eukaryota; Metazoa; Chordata; Mammalia; Chiroptera; Pteropodidae
Source: RNAcentral
GUGCUUAUUUCAGCAGCACAUAUACUAAAAUUGGAAUGAUACAGGGAAGAUUAGCAUGUCUCCUGCACAAGAAUGACACGCAAAUUUGUGAAGCAUUCCAUAUUUUU